CAAGUCAUAAUCUAAAAGCUCUAAUUCUUAAUGAAAUAGAAAUUUGGCUAUAACCCUUGAAGAGACGAUGUUUGCUUGACCACAUACCCACCAAUUUGCAAAUAUUUUUUCAACUGCUAUGGAAACUGCUGUAGGCAUCAUUGAAAAUGAUGUUGUUUCUGUCCAGCCAUAGAGUCCAUAAAGUCACCGAUAUGAUAUUGAAUUUUAUAACAUUGCUAGUGUUCUUUUGAUUUAUGGAGAAUAAGUUGUGGUAGAGGGCGUUGACGGAGUUUUCUUGCACUAAAUGCCUUGUUUCUUCGAGAUUUUCUUCCAAAAGCUUCUAGCUCUGGCACAGUGGAUGAAGAUAUGGUUGAUAUUUUCGAAAUCUGCUCUACAUGAUGCAUACCAUAUCAGAUUGAGGGAAGAUUUUGGAUUUCUCUUUUGAAUUACAUCCAUUAUGUUUAGUCUUUCAUGAAAUACUAUCCACAAGAAGAAUUUAUAUCUCUUAUGAAUUUUUUAUUGUCAAAGGUUGUCGAAGGAACCUGCACGUGCAAUUGGAUUGUUGAUGGUACUUUCUUCAAAGAUGGCUCUCUUGAUUGAAGCUAUGGAGAAAAGACCAUUGUUGUUUAAAGGCCGGUGGAGUUAUUGAUUUUUGAAGAGUUUCUGAUCAUCUUGUCAUUUGAAGUUUCCGGCGGAAUAGUAUGAAAUCCGGUAAAGUGCCAUCUGCUUUAUGGUGGUGGAACCAUCUGAAUUACAUGGUCUUGACCAAGGUAAUCUUUAAGCAAAAUAGAUGCAUGGAAAAAACCAGUAUAAUUGUAUUUCACCUUUACCUUUGCUUCAACCAGGUUAUCUAUAUUCACCUUUUCUUUAGCUACAUCAAGGAAUCAUUUCCAAUAUAAACAAAACUGUCUAAAUUCCAUGAGUGUAGGGGUAUGCCUCUGAAUCAUAGCCAGCCUCUAUAGCUUGGGAUUAAGGAAUGUGUGGCAUGUUUUGUAGGAAACCAUUUUUCAAAUUUGACAUAGUGUUUUCCAAUUGUUGACUAACCUGUUUCACUGUUGUUUCUACAAAGAAAUUAGGCCUGCUCUGCUUCAAGAAGGAUGAUUGCUUUAUCCGAGUGAAAAGGCUAGUAAGAUAAUUCAUAUUAUGUUUGUCUCUUAAAGGAGAACAUGAUUCUGCUCCAAUCGUCAUGGAAAUAUCUUUUGGUUAUGAUCACAGCCGCUUUAAGAUUUAAAGAAUUACCUGAGGCUCCCUACUUUUUGGUUUCUAGUGUUGAACUUUCCUUUCUUGAGCUUUCAUUUGAAAAGCAUAUGCUUUUCUUUUUCUUAUUUUCAUCCUCACCAUUAUCUGAUAGCACAUCUGCAUAUGUUUUCUUUGGGAUCUCAGAGUCUGAACAAGAAAGGUGAUACGCAUCAUAAAAUCUGCUUAAAGAAGAACAAGGCCUUUUUGAGAUCUAAUAAGGAGUAAAGGCGAUGAACAACAGAAAAGAUUUCCAUCCUUUCUUGUCAUUUCUUUCAAGGAUCAAUAUACUGCAUUUCCUUCCUUUGUUGUUAAUUUUGAAAAUUUCAGCUGUGUUACCAGACUUACUCUUGUUCUUUGUCUUUCUUAGCCACAUACAGCUAUCAACAUACCUUUUUUCUAUGAAAAAGUGUCUAUUUGUUGGGUUGUCAAGCAAAAGUUUGAAGCUUUUCCUAAUCCAAUCGAGUGUACCCGGAGUGACAUCCAUGGAGAAGCUUUUGUGAUAACAAACCUCUG
This is a long non-coding RNA of Cucumis melo (muskmelon), 1731 nucleotides long. RefSeq lists it as uncharacterized. The record is from RefSeq and is a predicted model, not a curated record. NCBI's taxonomy places the organism in Eukaryota, Viridiplantae, Streptophyta, Magnoliopsida, Cucurbitales, Cucurbitaceae. The transcript is spliced from 3 exons.